AAGUCGUAACAAGGUUUCCGUAGGUGAACCUGCGGAAGGAUCAUUAAUAAUCCAAAUUAUUAAAAAUUAUACCUCUUUUUUUUUUCUUGAAAGCUUUUUUUAUUAAUAAAAAGAGUUGAUAGGGGGAGAAAAGGGCGAUAUAAAAAAUUAUAUUGCAGGGGGGAGGAGAGAAAAGAGUAAGUUUAAUUUUAAAAUUACUUGAGUAUUUUUCUCCCCCAAAGGUGAUAAAACCUAUAUCUAAAAUCUAUGUAUAGCGCCCUUAUAUAUAAUAUAUGGGGGGUUCAAUGCACAGAGGAUAGAAAAUUUUUACACUAUGUAAAAAAAAAAAAAAUUGAUACAACUUUUAACAAUGGAUCUCUUGGCUCUU
RNAcentral lists this unclassified non-coding RNA (367 nucleotides) under fungal sp. Its description in RNAcentral is "partial internal transcribed spacer region". The stretch from base 1 to 46 matches the Rfam family "Eukaryotic small subunit ribosomal RNA", at positions 1786 to 1831 of the family's 1831-position model. The record is from RNAcentral. Lineage: Eukaryota; Fungi.